UUUUCUGUUCCACAUCCAUAGUUUCUGCUAAUCUGUCCUCCACCUCACUUAUUCAUUCUUCUGCCUCCUGUAUUCUGCUGUUAGCUGCUUCUGGUUAAUUUUUUAUUUCAGUUAUUGUAUUUUGCAUCUCUUCUUGUUUAAGUUUUCUAUCUGGUAUCUCUUUGGUCAGUGUUUCCUGUAAGUUAUCCAUCUUUGCCUCCAGUUUAUUUCCAAUGUCUUGCAUCAUCUUCAGCAUCAACAGUCUAAAGUCUUUUUCCUGGAGGCUAAGAAUCUCCUCCUCACUUAGCUGAUUUUCUGGGGUUUUUCCUUUCUCCUUCAUUUGAGUUAUAGUUCUCUGUCUUUUCAUUUUUAUAGGUUUUUGGUGUUGUGACCUUUUCACAGAUAAUAGAAUUGUAGCCUCUCUUACUUCUGAUGUGUGCCCCCCUGUGGCUAAAGUCAGUAUGGGGGCUUGGUGUAGGCUUCCUGAUGGGAGGGGCUGAUGCCUGCCCCCUGGUAGGUGGAGCUGAUUCUAAUCCCUCUGGUGGGUGGGGCUUAGUCUCUGGAUGGGAUUAGAGGCAGCUGUGUGCCUGAGGGGUCUUUAGGUAGCCUGUUAACUGAGGGCUGGGGCUGUGAUCCCACCUGGGUUGUUGUUUGCCCUGGGGCUUCUCAGCAGCUGGCUGACGGGUGGGGCCAGAUUUUCCCAAAAGGGCCCCCUCCAGAGAAAGGCACGUCUGCUGAAUAUUCCUGAGAGCUUUGCUUUCAAUGUCCUUCCCUCACAACAAGCCACAUUCACCCCUGUUUUCCCAGGAUGUCCUCCAAGUACGGCAUUCAGGUUUGACCCAGAUUCCUUUGGAGACUUUUCUUUGCCCUGGGACUCAGUGCACAUGAAAGUCUGUGUGUGCUUUUUAAGAAUGGGGUCUCUGUUUCCCCUAGUCCUGUGGAGCUCCUGUGCACAAGCCCCACUGGCCUUCAAUGCCAGAUGCUCCGGGGCUCUUUAUCCCUAUGCCAGAUCCCCACACAUGAGAGUUUGAUGUGUGGCUCAGAACUCUCACUCCUGUAGGUGAGUCUCUGUGAACCAUUUAGAUUCCAGUCUGUGCAGCUUCCCACCCAGGAGGUAUGGGGUUGUUUAUAUCAUGAAAUCACCCCUCCUACUUCUUGAUGUGUCCUCCUCUUUUUCUUCUAGAGUAGGGUGUCUUUUUUAAGAUUUCCAGUCCAUUUGGGUGGAGAUUGCUCAGCCUUUAGUUGUGAAUUUUGUUGUUUUUAUGAGAGAAGUGGACUCUAGUCCUUCUAUUCCACCAUCUUAAUCCUGUCUCCCCAGUGAUGUUUUUGACUAAAGCAUUGCUUCAGGACAACUGAAUGAUAUGAAACACAAGGAAGAGACUGCUGGCUGAGAGAUCAAUUAUAAAAUCUAUAGCCUGAACAAAAGUGGAGAUAUUUGGUGAAGCAUACAUCUAAAAAAGUAUUGUGGAAGUGAAAGAAAUUUACUGAUUGGAAAUGGGGGAAAAGCAAGAAAGGAAACCCCAGGGUAUAUUGAGGUUUUGAUCCUGAAGAGCUGGGAGAAGGGAGAUACAAUAGAAAACAUGGAAGAUAGACACUUUCGGUUGAGACCUCCAGACAUUGAGGUUCUUGUAGGUAUUGAGGUGGACUUGUUGAGCAAGUAGUUAAAAAUGAAACCACAAAACAAUACCUCCUUGGAAAAAUGUGCUACAUCAUAUAGACACAUUCCAAGGUCCUGCUCAUCCAUCCUUUCUUUCUUUCUUUCUUUCUUUCUUUCUUUCUUUCUUUUUUUCUUUCUUUCAUCUUUUUAGGGCCACACCUAAGGCAUAUGGAAGUUCCCAGGCUAGGGGUCCAAUCGGAGCUGUUGCUGCCAGCCUAUGCUACAGCCAUAGCAACAAGGGAUCUGAGCUGCAUCUGCAACCUACACCACAGCUCACAGCAAUGCCAGAUCCCUGACCCACUGAGUGAGGCCAGGGAUUGAACCUGCAUCCUCAUGGAUGCUAGUUGGAUUUGUUUCUGCUGCACCCCAAUGGGAACUUCUUCCAAUCAUAU
RNAcentral lists this long non-coding RNA (2028 nucleotides) under Sus scrofa (pig). RNAcentral describes it as "lncRNA (ENSSSCG00025065072.1)". Lineage: Eukaryota; Metazoa; Chordata; Mammalia; Artiodactyla; Suidae. The record is from RNAcentral.